This is a long non-coding RNA of Cynocephalus volans (Philippine flying lemur), 1133 nucleotides long. RefSeq lists it as uncharacterized. The transcript has 6 exons. The record is from RefSeq and is a predicted model, not a curated record. Lineage: Eukaryota; Metazoa; Chordata; Mammalia; Dermoptera; Cynocephalidae.
CGCCGUGACAACAGGGCGAGGGUGGCUUGGAGUUAGGCGGGGGCGGAGAGCGGUCCCCUGCGCCGCGUCUGUCCCUUUUUGCUGCACCCCGCUCCCCACCUUCUCCAUCAGUUCCUCCUCUGUAAGCCGCUGCACCUGCAGUCCUCGCCUGCCUGGUCUCUUCCGAGGGAUACAUGCGCUGCCCCUGCUUGUCUCCGGGGUGACGGAAAGGGGCGCCGGCGAGCGUGCUGGGGAGAACGGCUCCAACUCUGGGGAGCCGGCAGGGCUGCCUGGAGGGGCUCUCUCCUGCCCGGGACUUGAAACAACUUAGAGCGGGAGUAGCGAGGCGAAGGGUUGCUCUCCUUUGCACCCUCCACUCCGUCACUGGGAACCUCGUCAGGCGUUCUUAACGGGAAAUCUGCGCAAAGAGCGUUCGCAGUGAGGUGGGGCAGGUUGCACCUGCCUUGGCAUCAGAGUGAAAGAAAAUGUCUUUGUUUAAAGCCCGUGAUUGGUGGUCUACUGUUCUGGGAGAAAAAGAAGAAUUUGAUCAAGGCUGUUUGUGUUUGGCUGAUGUUGACAAUAGUGGAAAUGGCCAAGAUAAAAUAAUUGUGGGUAGCUUUAUGGGAUACCUAAGAAUCUUUAACCCCCAUCCUGUAAAAACAGGAGAUGGAUCUCAAGCUGAAGAUUUGCUUCUAGAAGUGCAUCUACGAGAUCCAAUACUUCAAGUGGAAGUAGGAAAAUUUCUUUCAGGUACUGAAAUGCUUUAUUUGGCUGUGUUGCAUUCUAGAAAACUUUGUGUCUACUCUGUCUCAGGAACUUUGGGUAAUGUGGAACAUGGGAACCAAUAUCAGAUCAAAUUGAUGUAUGAACAUAAUCUUCAGAGAACAGCCUGCAAUAUGACUUAUGGAUCAUUUGGUGGUGUAAAAGGGGUCCCUGCUACACCUGCUGCAGUCAGGGUGAAGCUGCAAACGCCUUUCUUCACCCUCCCUACCUCCACGGCUGCUGCACAGAGUCGUGCGAGUUGUUUCUGCACAAGGGCAGCUGGGAGUGGGGACAAGUGGGGGUUUGAAAUCUAGACAUGAUCCUGCUAGUCAAACGGUGCUCUCUGGCUUGGAAUAAAUCUUCCUAGAGGAAAGAGUGCCUCUUGUGCUGGC